GACGGAGGAUGCAAGCGUUAUCCGGAAUGAUUGGGCGUAAGGCGUCCGCAGGUGGCAGUUCAAGUCUGCUGUCAAAGACCGGGGCUUAACUUCGGAAAGGCAGUGGAAACUGAACAGCUAGAGUAUGGUAGGGGCAGAGGGAAUUCCUGGUGUAGCGGUGAAAUGCGUAGAGAUCAGGAAGAACAUCGGUGGCGAAGGCGGCAUUCUGGACCAAUACUGACGCUGAGGAGCGAAAGCCAGGGGAGCAAACGGG
This 253-nucleotide ribosomal RNA is filed under the name uncultured bacterium. RNAcentral's name for it is "partial 16S ribosomal RNA". It matches the Rfam family "Bacterial small subunit ribosomal RNA", at positions 524 to 776 of the family's 1533-position model. The record is from RNAcentral.